AGCGGCGGACGGGUGAGUAACGCGUGGGUAACCUGCCUCAUACAGGGGGAUAACAGUUGGAAACGGCUGCUAAUACCGCAUAAGCGCACAGUACCGCAUGGUACGGUGUGAAAAACUCCGGUGGUAUGAGAUGGACCCGCGUCUGAUUAGGUAGUUGGUGGGGUAACGGCCUACCAAGCCGACGAUCAGUAGCCGACCUGAGAGGGUGAACGGCCACAUUGGGACUGAGACACGGCCCAA
RNAcentral lists this ribosomal RNA (240 nucleotides) under uncultured bacterium. RNAcentral's name for it is "partial 16S ribosomal RNA". It matches the Rfam family "Bacterial small subunit ribosomal RNA", at positions 94 to 334 of the family's 1533-position model. The record is from RNAcentral.